Molecule: transfer RNA, 76 nt
Filed under: Shigella flexneri
Lineage: Bacteria; Pseudomonadati; Pseudomonadota; Gammaproteobacteria; Enterobacterales; Enterobacteriaceae
Also listed under: 3 other names
Description: tRNA-Lys
Rfam family: tRNA
About the family: Transfer RNA (tRNA) molecules are approximately 80 nucleotides in length. Their secondary structure includes four short double-helical elements and three loops (D, anti-codon, and T loops). Further hydrogen bonds mediate the characteristic L-shaped molecular structure. tRNAs have two regions of fundamental functional importance: the anti-codon, which is responsible for specific mRNA codon recognition, and the 3' end, to which the tRNAs corresponding amino acid is attached (by aminoacyl-tRNA synthetases). tRNAs cope with the degeneracy of the genetic code in two manners: having more than one tRNA (with a specific anti-codon) for a particular amino acid; and 'wobble' base-pairing, i.e. permitting non-standard base-pairing at the 3rd anti-codon position.
Source: RNAcentral
GGGUCGUUAGCUCAGUUGGUAGAGCAGUUGACUUUUAAUGAAUUGGUCGCAGGUUCGAAUCCUGCACGACCCACCA